RNAcentral lists this long non-coding RNA (373 nucleotides) under Vigna radiata. Its description in RNAcentral is "long non-coding RNA (VRAD_LNC018157)". Lineage: Eukaryota; Viridiplantae; Streptophyta; Magnoliopsida; Fabales; Fabaceae. The record is from RNAcentral.
GGAAAGCAUUUAGGGUGGUUAGGAAUCCAAAGAUGAUGCAAACCGCUGGGAAGUGAGGUAAGGGGAGAAACCGGUUAUAUUGUAACACAUGAUUGGUUUAGGGUUUUGAUAAGUGUUUUCAUGUUAUAGGGAAAUAUAUUUUGUGAUNUGAUAUAAUAUUUAUUCUUUACUUGUGCUUCAUUGUAAGGGGAGUAACUAGAAUUGUCUUGUUGUGUAUUGUUUCUCUUUUGAUAUGAAUGUCUUGCAUGGUGAGAUGAGUUUUAAAUUGUCUCUAGCAUGAAUGGUGUAAUUUCAAUUAUAUGUGGAUAAUUUAUGAAUAGUUGUCUAUGCCAUCUUCGCGUGUGACUUGUUGGAAUUUUUGGCUCACUUAUUG